Molecule: ribosomal RNA, 492 nt
Filed under: uncultured bacterium
Lineage: Bacteria
Description: partial 16S ribosomal RNA
Rfam family: Bacterial small subunit ribosomal RNA
Source: RNAcentral
AGUGAACGCUGGCGGUAGGCCUAACACAUGCAAGUCGAACGGCAGCACAGUAAGAGCUUGCUCUUAAGGGUGGCGAGUGGCGGACGGGUGAGGAAUACAUCGGAAUCUACUUUUUCGUGGGGGAUAACGUAGGGAAACUUACGCUAAUACCGCAUACGACCUACGGGUGAAAGCAGGGGAUCUUCGGACCUUGCGCGAUUGAAUGAGCCGAUGUCGGAUUAGCUAGUUGGCGGGGUAAAGGCCCACCAAGGCGACGAUCCGUAGCUGGUCUGAGAGGAUGAUCAGCCACACUGGAACUGAGACACGGUCCAGACUCCUACGGGAGGCAGCAGUGGGGAAUAUUGGACAAUGGGCGCAAGCCUGAUCCAGCCAUACCGCGUGGGUGAAGAAGGCCUUCGGGUUGAAAAGCCCUUUUGUUGGGAAAGAAAAGCAGCAGGUUAAUACCCCGCUGUUCUGACGGUACCCAAAGAAUAAGCACCGGCUAACUUCGUG